RNAcentral lists this ribosomal RNA (386 nucleotides) under Leptographium olivaceum. RNAcentral's name for it is "eukaryotic LSU rRNA". It matches the Rfam family "Eukaryotic large subunit ribosomal RNA", at positions 1 to 386 of the family's 3401-position model. Lineage: Eukaryota; Fungi; Ascomycota; Sordariomycetes; Ophiostomatales; Ophiostomataceae. The record is from RNAcentral.
GUUGACCUCGGAUCAGGUAGGAUUACCCGCUGAACUUAAGCAUAUCAAUAAGCGGAGGAAAAGAAACCAACAGGGAUUGCCUCAGUAACGGCGAGUGAAGCGGCAACAGCUCAGAUUUGGAAUCUGGUCCCUCGGGGCCCGAGUUGUAAUCUGGAGAGGAUGCUUCUGGCGCGGCGCCGUCCGAGUUCCCUGGAACGGGACGCCGGAGAGGGUGAGAGCCCCGUACGGUCGGACGCCUAGCCUGUGUGAAGCUCCUUCGACGAGUCGAGUAGUUUGGGAAUGCUGCUCAAAAUGGGAGGUAAAUUUCUUCUAAAGCUAAAUACCGGCCAGAGACCGAUAGCGCACAAGUAGAGUGAUCGAAAGAUGAAAAGCACUUUGAAAAGAGG